CUGCACACCUACCCCCGGUGUCCCUCUGCCACCCCCGCCGCCCCAGCAACCCCGACACCCACCACCCUCCACACACACAAUUUUUCUUUUUUUAAAUUUCCAGCAGUCGGUUUUUCUCUAGAGAAGGCAUAAAGAGAAGCAGAGGCAGAGAUGGGACGAGCAGGGAGAAUGCUCCUGCCUCAUCGGAGCCACCGGUUUUCGGGAGAGAGCGGCAGCCCCCACCUGCCUGUGGACUGAGCACUUAAAGGGCUGGUGAUGAUCAACCUCUUCUGAC
RNAcentral lists this long non-coding RNA (274 nucleotides) under Homo sapiens (human). RNAcentral's name for it is "non-protein coding lnc-TUBB1-1:4". Lineage: Eukaryota; Metazoa; Chordata; Mammalia; Primates; Hominidae. The record is from RNAcentral.